This 250-nucleotide ribosomal RNA is filed under the name uncultured bacterium. RNAcentral's name for it is "partial 16S ribosomal RNA". It matches the Rfam family "Bacterial small subunit ribosomal RNA", at positions 524 to 776 of the family's 1533-position model. The record is from RNAcentral.
UACGAAGGGGGCUAGCGUUGUUCGGAUUUACUGGGCGUAAAGCGCACGUAGGCGGAUUGUUAAGUGAGGGGUGAAAUCCCAGGGCUCAACCCUGGAACUGCCUUUCAUACUGGCAAUCUUGAGUCCGGAAGAGGUGAGUGGAACUCCUAGUGUAGAGGUGGAAUUCGUAGAUAUUAGGAAGAACACCGGUGGCGAAGGCGGCCCACUGGAUCGGUACUGACGCUGAGGUGCGAAAGCGUGGAGCAACAGG